Helianthus annuus (common sunflower) is the source of this 720-nucleotide long non-coding RNA. RefSeq lists it as uncharacterized. The transcript is spliced from 5 exons. Lineage: Eukaryota; Viridiplantae; Streptophyta; Magnoliopsida; Asterales; Asteraceae. The record is from RefSeq and is a predicted model, not a curated record.
CCUCCCCAUUUUCAUUAGUAUUCCCGCUCCUCCCCAAAAUCAAAUUCAUAUUGGCGCUUUUGUUUCCCACCCCAAAAUUCAUCUAAAAUCACAAGUUAGCAAGAAGAUUUGGCAAAAAGAAAAGAAGAGGCAGAACCGCCGCCACUGCAUCUAGACUGCCCGAUUUGAGUGAUGGCGGCAGAAGAAAUUAAUCCUAGAUCGCUUAUGUUAAGAAUAGAAGUAGAGGCGCAAACGAGCCAAGCGGCUCGUAAGAUGCUCGAGAAAAAGUUCAAAACAAGCUGAGCCUUAUCGAGUUGAGCAUGAGCCUAAAUUAAAAGUUCUUUUAGUUAUCGAGCCCGAGCACGAGCCUGACAUGUGAAGCUCGUCAGCCUUGUCGAGCCUUGGUGUAAUAAUGAUGAAAGGAUGCAACAAAGGAGAUCUACUGUGCCGGAUUUUGGUGAUGAUUGAAUAAAAAGUAGAUAUCUGGAGAUUGUAUAUGUGAUCACAGAUGGAAAGUUGACCAAAUCAAUAGAGGUUAAGAGUACAUGAAAGCGGAUAUCAAUGGAAUUCGUGAAAUAGGGUCGAGUUUUGCGCAACCUUUAUUUUUAGGUGACAAACAAUUAUUUUAGGCGUCAAAGGACAAACAAUAUUAUUGUUAAUGUUAAAAUGUUUGUAGUAUACUUGACAAAUGAUUCUUCAAUGAGUUGUUUUGGUAUAUAUAUAUCUGUAUUUGUUUGUAUU